This 337-nucleotide unclassified non-coding RNA is filed under the name soil metagenome. Its description in RNAcentral is "partial contains 5.8S ribosomal RNA, internal transcribed spacer 2, and large subunit ribosomal RNA". The stretch from base 1 to 120 matches the Rfam family "5.8S ribosomal RNA", at positions 35 to 154 of the family's 154-position model. The record is from RNAcentral.
GAUGAAGAACGUAGCGAAAUGCGAUAAGUAGUUUGAAUUGCAGAAUUCAGUGAAUCAUCGAAUCUUUGAACGCACAUUGCGCCCCUUGGUAUUCCAUGGGGCAUGCCUGUUCGAGCGUCAUUUGUACCUUCAAGCUCUGCUUGGUGUUGGGUGUUUGUCUCGCCUCUGCGUGUAGACUCGCCUCAAAACAAUUGGCAGCCGGCGUAUUGAUUUCGGAGCGCAGUACAUCUCGCGCUUUGCACUCAUAACGACGACGUCCAAAAGUACAUUUUUACACUCUUGACCUCGGAUCAGGUAGGGAUACCCGCUGAACUUAAGCAUAUCAAUAAGCGGAGGA